RNAcentral lists this ribosomal RNA (1788 nucleotides) under Acinetobacter baumannii. RNAcentral's name for it is "bacterial LSU rRNA". It matches the Rfam family "Bacterial large subunit ribosomal RNA", at positions 1159 to 2925 of the family's 2925-position model. Lineage: Bacteria; Pseudomonadati; Pseudomonadota; Gammaproteobacteria; Moraxellales; Moraxellaceae. The record is from RNAcentral.
CUGCGCGGAAGAUGUAACGGGGCUAAAACUAUGUGCCGAAGCUGCGGAUGUAUACUUUGUAUACGUGGUAGGGGAGCGUUCUGUAAGCCGAUGAAGGUGUGUUGAGAAGCAUGCUGGAGGUAUCAGAAGUGCGAAUGCUGACGUGAGUAACGACAAAACGNGGGUGAAAAACCCGUUCGCCGAAAGACCAAGGGUUCCAGUCCAACGUUAAUCGGGGCUGGGUGAGUCGACCCCUAAGGCGAGGCCGAAAGGCGUAGUCGAUGGGAAAAUGGUUAAUAUUCCAUUACUUCUGUGUAAUGCGAUGAGAGGACGGAGAAGGCUAAAUCAGCCUGGCGUUGGUUGUCCAGGUGAAAGGAUGUAGGCAUGUAUCUUAGGCAAAUCCGGGGUACUCUAUGCUGAGAUCUGAUAGCAAGCUGUACUUGUACAGCGAAGUGGUUGAUGCCAUGCUUCCAGGAAAAGUCUCUAAGCUUCAGUUACACAGGAAUCGUACCCGAAACCGACACAGGUGGUCAGGUCGAGUAGACCAAGGCGCUUGAGAGAACUCUGCUGAAGGAACUAGGCAAAAUGGUACCGUAACUUCGGGAGAAGGUACGCUGUUGUUGGUGAUGGAACUCGCUUCCUGAGCUGACGACAGCCGCAGAAACCAGGCCGCUGCAACUGUUUAUUAAAAACAUAGCACUCUGCAAACACGAAAGUGGACGUAUAGGGUGUGAUGCCUGCCCGGUGCUGGAAGGUUAAUUGAUGGGGUUAGCGUAAGCGAAGCUCUUGAUCGAAGCCCCAGUAAACGGCGGCCGUAACUAUAACGGUCCUAAGGUAGCGAAAUUCCUUGUCGGGUAAGUUCCGACCUGCACGAAUGGCAUAAUGAUGGCGGCGCUGUCUCCAGCAGAGGCUCAGUGAAAUCGAAAUCGCUGUGAAGAUGCAGUGUACCCGCGGCUAGACGGAAAGACCCCGUGAACCUUUACUGCAGCUUGACACUGAACUUUGACCUUACUUGUGUAGGAUAGGUGGGAGGCUUUGAAGCUGGAACGCUAGUUCCAGUGGAGCCGUCCUUGAAAUACCACCCUGGUAAUGUUGAGGUUCUAACUCUGUCCCGUGAUCCGGGACGAGGACCGUGUCUGGUGGGUAGUUUGACUGGGGCGGUCUCCUCCUAAAGAGUAACGGAGGAGUACGAAGGUGCGCUCAGCGUGGUCGGAAAUCACGCGUAGAGUAUAAAGGCAAAAGCGCGCUUAACUGCGAGACCCACAAGUCGAGCAGGUACGAAAGUAGGUCUUAGUGAUCCGGUGGUUCUGUAUGGAAGGGCCAUCGCUCAACGGAUAAAAGGUACUCUGGGGAUAACAGGCUGAUACCGCCCAAGAGUUCAUAUCGACGGCGGUGUUUGGCACCUCGAUGUCGGCUCAUCUCAUCCUGGGGCUGAAGCAGGUCCCAAGGGUAUGGCUGUUCGCCAUUUAAAGAGGUACGCGAGCUGGGUUUAGAACGUCGUGAGACAGUUCGGUCCCUAUCUACCGUGGGCGCUGGAAAUUUGAGAGGAUCUGCUCCUAGUACGAGAGGACCAGAGUGGACGAACCUCUGGUGUACCGGUUGUGACGCCAGUCGCAUCGCCGGGUAGCUAUGUUCGGAAGGGAUAACCGCUGAAAGCAUCUAAGCGGGAAGCCUACCUCAAGAUAAGAUUUCCCUAGGACUUUAUGUCCUCUAAAGAGCCGUUCGAGACUAGGACGUUGAUAGGUUGGAUGUGGAAGCAUAGUGAUAUGUGAAGCUGACCAAUACUAAUUGCUCGUGAGGCUUGACUAU